GACGAACGCUGGUGGCGUGCUUAACACAUGCAAGUCGAACGGGAUUUAGUAAACAGAAGCCUCGGUGGAAGAUUACUAAUGAGAGUGGCGAACGGGUGAGUAACGCGUGAGCAACCUGCCUAUGACAGUGGGAUAGCCUCGGGAAACCGGGAUUAAUACCGCAUAAAAUCGUAGAAACACAUGUUUUAACGGUCAAAGAUUUAUCGGUCAUAGAUGGGCUCGCGUCUGAUUAGCUAGUUGGUGAGAUAACAGCCCACCAAGGCGACGAUCAGUAGCCGGUCUGAGAGGAUGAACGGCCACAUUGGAACUGAGACACGGUCCAAACUCCUACGGGAGGCAGCAGUGGGGAAUAUUGCACAAUGGGGGAAACCCUGAUGCAGCGACGCCGCGUGAACGAAGAAGGUAUUCGUAUCGUAAAGUUCUGUCCUACGGGAAGAUAAUGACAGUACCAUAGAAGAAAGCUCCGGCUAAAUACGUG
This 478-nucleotide ribosomal RNA is filed under the name uncultured bacterium. Its description in RNAcentral is "partial 16S ribosomal RNA". It matches the Rfam family "Bacterial small subunit ribosomal RNA", at positions 28 to 507 of the family's 1533-position model. The record is from RNAcentral.